UCAAUAAGCGGAGGAAAAGAAACUAACAAGGAUUCCCCUAGUAACUGCGAGUGAAGCGGGAAAAGCUCAAAUUUAAAAUCUGGCGGUCUCUGGCCGUCCGAGUUGUAAUCUAGAGAAGUGAUGCCCGCGCUGGACCGUGUACAAGUCUCCUGGAAUGGAGCGUCAUAGAGGGUGAGAAUCCCGUCUCUGACACGGACUACCAGGGCUUUGUGGUACGCUCUCAAAGAGUCGAGUUGUUUGGGAAUGCAGCUCUAAAUGGGUGGUAAAUUCCAUCUAAAGCUAAAUAUUGGCGAGAGACCGAUAGCGAACAAGUACCGUGAGGGAAAGAUGAAAAGAACUUUGGAAAGAGAGUUAAACAGUACGUGAAAUUGCUGAAAGGGAAACGCUUGAAGUCAGUCGCGUUGACCAGGACUCAGCCUCGCUCUUGCGUGGUGUACUUUCUGGUUGACGGGUCAGCAUCAAUUUUGACUGCUGGAAAAAGGCUUAGGGAAUGUGGCAGCUUCGGCUGUGUUAUAGCCCUUGGUCACAUACAGCGGUUGGGAUUGAGGAACUCAGCACGCCGCAAGGCCGGGUUUCGACCACGUUCGUGCUUAGGAUGCUGGCAUAAUGGCUUUAAGCGACCCGUCUUGAAACACGGACCAAGGAGUCUAACAUGCCUGCGAGUGUUUGGGUGGUAAACCCGAGCGCGUAAUGAAAGUGAAAGUUGAGAUCCCUGUCGUGGGGAGCAUCGACGCCCGGACCUGAACUUUUGUGACGGAUCCGCGGUAGAGCAUGUAUGUUGGGACCCGAAAGAUGGUGAACUAUGCCUGAAUAGGGUGAAGCCAGAGGAAACUCUGGUGGAGGCUCGUAGCGAUUCUGACGUGCAAAUCGAUCGUCAAAUUUGGGUAUAGGGGCGAAAGACUAAUCGAAACCAUCUAGCAGCUG
RNAcentral lists this ribosomal RNA (924 nucleotides) under Leptocaulis ericaeus. Its description in RNAcentral is "LSU rRNA". It matches the Rfam family "Eukaryotic large subunit ribosomal RNA", at positions 43 to 953 of the family's 3401-position model. The record is from RNAcentral. Lineage: Eukaryota; Fungi; Basidiomycota; Agaricomycetes; Agaricales; Lycoperdaceae.